Molecule: transfer RNA, 65 nt
Filed under: Glycera cf. tridactyla FS20
Lineage: Eukaryota; Metazoa; Annelida; Polychaeta; Phyllodocida; Glyceridae
Description: tRNA-Thr
Source: RNAcentral
GUUUGUAAAGCUAAAACGUAGCGUCGGUCUUGUAAACCGGAAGUUGAGAAAUUUCUCUACAAACU